RNAcentral lists this ribosomal RNA (459 nucleotides) under uncultured bacterium. RNAcentral describes it as "partial 16S ribosomal RNA". It matches the Rfam family "Bacterial small subunit ribosomal RNA", at positions 338 to 795 of the family's 1533-position model. The record is from RNAcentral.
CCUACGGGUGACAGCAGUGAGGAAUAUUCGUCAAUGGGCGGGAGCCUGACCGAGCCAAGCCGCGUGAGGGAAGAAGGUACAGCGUAUCGUAAACCUCUUUUGUCAGGGAACAAAGGCGGGGACUAGUCUCAGGAUGAGGGUACCUGAAGAAACAGCAUCGGCUAACUCCGUGCCAGCAGCCGCGGUAAUACGGAGGAUGCGAGCGUUGUCCGGAUUUAUUGGGUUAAGAGGGUGAGCAGGCGGCCUGUUAAGUCAGCGGUAAAAUCCCGGGGCUCAACGCCGGCGAGCCGUUGAAACUGGCGGGCUGGAGUUGGAGAGAGGUACGCGGAAUGCGCUGUGUAGCGGUGAAAUGCUUAGAUAUCGCGCAGAACCCCGAUUGCGAAGGCAGCGUACCGGCUCCACACUGACGCUGAGGCACGAAAGCGUGGGUAGCGAACAGGAUUAGAUACCCCGGUAGUC